AUGAACGCUAGCGGGAGGCCUAAUACAUGCAAGUCGAACGGUAACAGGGCAGAACCUCGGUUCAGCCGCUGACGAGUGGCGCACGGGUGAGUAACGCGUACAUAACCUGCCUUCAAGAGAGGGAUAGCCCUGGGAAACCGGGAUUAAUACCUCAUAGUAUUGCUAAGUCGCAUGGCUGUGCAAUUAAAGUUUCGGCGCUUGAAGAUGGAUGUGCGUGCCAUUAGCUAGUUGGUAAGGUAACGGCUUACCAAGGCAACGAUGGCUAGGGGGCGUGAGAGCGUGACCCCCCACACGGGUACUGAGACACGGACCCGACUCCUACGGGAGGCAGCAGUAAGGAAUAUUGGACAAUGGAGGCAACUCUGAUCCAGCCAUCCCGCGUGCAGGAUGACUGCCCUAUGGGUUGUAAACUGCUUUUAUUUGGGAAGAAACCUGUUCAUUUACUGAACAGUUGACGGUACCUUAUGAAUAAGCACCGGCUAACUCCGUGCCAGCAGCCGCGGUAAUACGGAGGGUGCAAGCGUUAUCCGGAAUCACUGGGUUUAAAGGGAGCGUAGGCGGCAUGAUAAGUCAGAGGUGAAAGGCUGUAGCUUAACUAUGGAAUUGCCUUUGAUACUGUUGUGCUUGAAUCGAGUUGAGGUCAGCAGAAUGUGACAUGUAGCGGUGAAAUGCAUAGAUAUGUCAUAGAAUACCAAUUGUGAAGACAGCUGGCUGGACUUGUAUUGACGCUGAGGCUCGAAAGCGUGGGGAGCAAACAGGAUUAGAUACCCUGGUAGUCCACGCCCUAGACGAUGUUUACUCGAUGUUGGCUUUUAAAGUCAGCGUCCAAGGGAAACCAUUAAGUAAACCACCUGGGGAGUACGUCGG
RNAcentral lists this ribosomal RNA (867 nucleotides) under uncultured organism. Its description in RNAcentral is "bacterial SSU rRNA". It matches the Rfam family "Bacterial small subunit ribosomal RNA", at positions 29 to 888 of the family's 1533-position model. The record is from RNAcentral.